GUGUAGUUUCUUUGGAAAUACGCUUUGGUAGUUAUUUAAUUGGGCAAGUGGAAAAUUACUUUUUAUGAAGAUGGUUUCUGCAUAUCACAAAAACGCCGUGUGCUGAGUCAUGCAGUAAGUGAAAGCGCCUAGAUAAGAGCAGCCGUUUGUUCUUCCCGAUAAGGCACCCCCUACUGUUUUCUCUGGAAUCCAACUGGCAUGCCUGAUGACUGGCGUUUUUAUAAAUCAGUGAGUAUUUACACGUCUCAAACAGGCAAGUUUAAAACCACAAAGUCAGGGGUAUGUUAAAAACUUGACUUCGGGUCUUAGUGAUCCAUUGAUCUUUUCAUUUCUUCAUUUCGGGUCCGGCUGCUUUGCAUGAGGAUGUUUUUCUCAUGUCUCUUGUUGCCGGGCUUACAGGAGAGUUGGGUGAUAGAACAUGACGAGCAGAGAACGCACCGGCCUCUGACAGCCGCUCUGUGCAGAUCGGUCCUUCAGCCACGCACAGGAAGUGCCACCAGAGUGGGACAUGUCUUCUAUCCUCUUGGAAGUGAUGAAACCGCUUUUCAGAAAUCACAGCAGUGAGAAAACUGUGACGUUGAAUGAUACCUGACCUAACCCACCCCCAUCCGGCCUUUGACCUCCAAACUGUCUUUCAUCAUUCCUAGGCCUGGGCCAAACUAACUGGGAGAUAUUUAUAGUUUAAACGAUAAUAGCCCUUCUCUCAAACUGAACUGCCUGCGUAAAGCUAAUGAAAGGCCACUAGGUUAGGAGGAUGAGAGGAGCCUGGAUUCUGCUAAAAUAUAGAUGUAAACGACAACCAGCCAUUACUCCGGAGGUCACAAGAUCUGCAGCUUCUGCAGAUAAACAUCACUAUUGUAGAACCUAAGAUUGGCCGUUUGAGAUGUCCUUUCAAGUUUUUGCAUUUCUGGUGUCUGACUGGUCCUGUGGCCCCACUCAGAAGCGGACUCCCUGGCCUGCUAAACUAUCCUUGAAAAACGCUAACCUCCAAAUUUUCGGGGAAAUUGAUUUGAGUAAUAACUCCAUCUCCCAUGUGGCGUGGCUGGCCUCGUGUCAGUUAAACUUUCUUUAUGCAAUGCCAUAGUUUCAGUGAAUUGUUUUUUCUGUGCAGUGGGCAGGAGUUUUAACCUCUUAAUUUUGGAUCCAGCCUUCAGGCGGUGACUGUGAUUGGAUAAUUACUUUAGUAGCAUUAGAUACUGAGGCUGCCGCACUCAGGUGGAUAGAAUGGGCAGGAAACAUGACUUGAAUGCGGCAGGGACUCUACACCAGCAUCUGCCCCCUGCAAAAGGGCUCUAGGAACUUGACAGUCAUUCCCACCUUCUGUGCACAUUCGAUCACUGCAGAGAGCAUGGGAAUGUGCUUGCCUGGCCGCUCUGGGCCCAAGCUCCCAUGUGAGCGUUUGUGUUAAACCAAAAAUAAAAUUCCAAAAACCAAAAGCCCUACAUCCAACUGAAUGGACUCCCACUCUUGGCCAACAGGAUUGCAAAGAAACCCGAAAAACAAGUCAGGCCGUGACGGGAAGGGGAGGGUCUGAUAUGCCUCAUUGUACCCUCUCCCUUUGGGGUUCAGGCACAGCUGACGGCAUUAACUAACACAGAGACCUUCAGACUGACCAGACAGGCUCUGGAAGUGAUAGGAACGAGGCCCAGGGUGCAGGAGGAGCCUCGAGGGCUCACACUCGCUCUCCUACUGCCUUAUGAAGAAGGUGCUUGUCAUGCGCAUCUGUGUGAAGAGACCACCAAACAGGCUUUGUGUGAGCAACAUGGCUGUUUAUUUCACCUGGGUGCAGGCGGGCUGAGUCCGAAAAGAGAGUCAGCGCAGGGAGAGAAGGGUGGGGCCGUUUUAUAGGAUUUGGGUAGGUAAAGGAAAAUUACAGUCAAAGGGGAGUUGUUCUCUGGUGGGCAGGAGUGGGGGUCACAAGGUGCUCAGUGGGGGAGCUUUUUGAGCCAGGAUGAGCCAGGAAAAGGUAUUUCACAAGAUAAUAUCAUUGCUUAAGGCAAGGACCGGCCAUUUUCACUUCUUUUGUGGUGGAAUGUCAUCAGUUAAGUCGAGGCAGGGCAUUUGCACAUCUUUUGUGAUUCUUCAGUUACCUCAGGUCAUCUGGGCGUAAACGUGCAAGUCACAGGGGAUGCGAUGGCUUGGCUUGGGCUUAGAGGCCUGACAGUGCUUACUUCCCUCUUGCCUUCCGCCGUGAUCGUAAGUUUCCUGAGGCCUCCCCUGCCAUGUGGAGCUGUGAGUCAAUUCAACCAUUUUCCUUUAGAAAUUACCCAGUCUCGGGUAUUUCUUUAUAGCAGCGUGAAAGUGAACCAAUACAGCAAAAUAAGCUUUCUAAAUGGAUGGAGACCUGUCUCGGAUACUUUUGAGUUCACACUUUCGUCCGUGGGCUGUGGUGUAAUAUCGUCUUUUCAGGCCUCCCCGUGGAGCUGGGAUCUUCUGGAGUGAUGAUUUCAUUUUUCUACGACGUGUAGCUUAAUUUAUGGUCUAUGUACAUUUUCCUCUUUGCAGCAGCUAACCUUCACUCAUUUACUAUGGCAUUUUUUAGAAUUUUACCGUUUGUCAAUAACUUCCUUUGCAAAGUGUUCCUGCUCUCUGGCAUGACUUUUUUAUUUUAUUUAUUUAUUUUUUUAGACAGUGUUGCUCUGUCUCCAGGCUGGAGUGCAGUGGCAUGAUCUCAGCUCACUGCAACCUCCACCUCCUGGGUUCAAG
This 2706-nucleotide long non-coding RNA is filed under the name Macaca fascicularis (crab-eating macaque). RNAcentral describes it as "lncRNA (ENSMFAG00000064781.1)". The record is from RNAcentral. Lineage: Eukaryota; Metazoa; Chordata; Mammalia; Primates; Cercopithecidae.